UGCGUAGGCGGUCUGGUAAGUCAGAGGUGAAAGCUCGCAGCUUAACUGUGGAAUUGCCUUUGAUACUGUCAGGCUUGAAUCAGGCUGAGGUAGGCGGAAUGUGGCAUGUAGCGGUGAAAUGCUUAGAUAUGCCAUAGAACACCAAUUGCGAAGGCAGCUUACUAGACCUGAAUUGACGCUGAGGCACGAAAGCGUGGGGAGCGAACAGGAUUAGAUACCCUGGUAGUCC
Molecule: ribosomal RNA, 229 nt
Filed under: uncultured bacterium
Lineage: Bacteria
Description: partial 16S ribosomal RNA
Rfam family: Bacterial small subunit ribosomal RNA
Source: RNAcentral